ACCUAUAUGAAUAUAAUAAAUUUAAAUAAAUAAAUAAGAUUCCAAAAUCAAAAUUAUAAUGUCCGAUACAUCCGAUAAAAGUCCAACAAAACUUAAUUUAAUCUAUACAUCAUGUGUUUUAAGCAAAUCGGGAACUUCAACGCGGACAGCCUUAAACUUGAACCGAUUAUACCUACACCAAAUUAAAUGAAGAAGUGAACAAAUACUAUAACAAUUACUUUAAUAAACAAAUAAAAUAUAAAAAAAGAGAGAGAGAGAACAGAUCCAGUGGAUCGUUUAUUUUCAACAGAGCAUUUAAUGCUACAUUUAAUUAGAGAUAGGAAUGUUAGCAACUUGCUGCCCACGCCACUUGUCAUCCUUAAUCCUUAAGUAGGCCUAACCAUUUAGGCAUAUCACCUUCUUUCACUCACCCCAUCACCAUCUAUAUUCUCUCUACACACCCAACGUGGAUAGAGGAUAGAGGAGUCGAGGAAGGAGAAUUUCACACAAUCGUAGAGUCAAACACUACAAUCGAACAACCCUUUAUUCCACAUCAAAAAGUUUUCAAAAGGGUAUGUUCGCAAAGUAAAGUCGGAACGAAAGAUUCAAGUUAAGGGAACUAAACGAUCAAGGUUGAGCAGCGAAGUGGUGGAGGAAGUGCUAUUGAGACAAGACAUUUAAUUCAGUCAGA
Molecule: long non-coding RNA, 670 nt
Organism: Salvia splendens (bonfire salvia)
Lineage: Eukaryota; Viridiplantae; Streptophyta; Magnoliopsida; Lamiales; Lamiaceae
Exons: 3
Source: RefSeq, a predicted model, not a curated record